RNAcentral lists this ribosomal RNA (253 nucleotides) under uncultured bacterium. RNAcentral's name for it is "partial 16S ribosomal RNA". It matches the Rfam family "Bacterial small subunit ribosomal RNA", at positions 524 to 776 of the family's 1533-position model. The record is from RNAcentral.
UACGUAGGUGGCAAGCGUUGUUCGGAAUUAUUGGGCGUAAAGGGCGCGUAGGCGGUCUUGUAAGUCAGCUGUGAAAGCCCGGGGCUCAACCCCGGAGGGUCGGCUGAUACUGCAGGACUGGAGUACGGAAGAGGUAGCUGGAAUUCCCGGUGUAGCGGUGAAAUGCGUAGAUAUCGGGAGGAGCACCUGAGGCGAAGGCGGGCUACUGGGCCGAUACUGACGCUGAGGCGCGAAAGCCAGGGGAGCAAACGGG